UGGGGUGUAGCUCAGUUGGUAGAGUGCUUGUCUUAGAAACUUAUAUAAGACUCUGGGUUCAAUCCCUAGCACCAAAA
Molecule: transfer RNA, 77 nt
Filed under: Ictidomys tridecemlineatus (thirteen-lined ground squirrel)
Lineage: Eukaryota; Metazoa; Chordata; Mammalia; Rodentia; Sciuridae
Description: Spermophilus tridecemlineatus (thirteen-lined ground squirrel) tRNA
Rfam family: tRNA
About the family: Transfer RNA (tRNA) molecules are approximately 80 nucleotides in length. Their secondary structure includes four short double-helical elements and three loops (D, anti-codon, and T loops).
Source: Rfam by way of RNAcentral